RNAcentral lists this ribosomal RNA (501 nucleotides) under uncultured bacterium. Its description in RNAcentral is "partial 16S ribosomal RNA". It matches the Rfam family "Bacterial small subunit ribosomal RNA", at positions 30 to 523 of the family's 1533-position model. The record is from RNAcentral.
AUUGAACGCUGGCGGCAGGCUUAACACAUGCAAGUCGAGCGGAGAUGAGGUGCUUGCACCUUAUCUUAGCGGCGGACGGGGGAGUAAUGCUUAGGAAUCUGCCUAUUAGUGGGGGACAACAUUCCGAAAGGAAUGCUAAUACCGCAUACGUCCUACGGGAGAAAGCAGGGGAUCUUCGGACCUUGCGCUAAUAGAUGAGCCUAAGUCGGGUUAGCUAGUUGGGGGGGUAAAGGCCUACCAAGGCGACGAGCGGUAGCGGGGCUGAGAGGAUGAUCCGCCAAGCUGGGACUGAGACACGGCCGAGACUCCUACGGGAGGCAGCAGUGGGGAAUAUUGGACAAUGGGGGGAACCCUGAUCCUGCCAUGCCGCGUGUGUGAAGAAGGCCUUAUGGUUGUAAAGCACUUUAAGCGAGGAGGAGGCUACUGAGACUAAUACUCUUGGAUAGUGGACGUUACUCGCAGAAUAAGCACCGGCUAACUCUGUGCCAGCCGCCGCGGUAA